RNAcentral lists this ribosomal RNA (1494 nucleotides) under Escherichia coli. RNAcentral describes it as "bacterial SSU rRNA". It matches the Rfam family "Bacterial small subunit ribosomal RNA". The record is from RNAcentral. Lineage: Bacteria; Pseudomonadati; Pseudomonadota; Gammaproteobacteria; Enterobacterales; Enterobacteriaceae.
AAAUUGAAGAGUUUGAUCAUGGCUCAGAUUGAACGCUGGCGGCAGGCCUAACACAUGCAAGUCGAACGGUAACAGGAAGCAGCUUGCUGCUUCGCUGACGAGUGGCGGACGGGUGAGUAAUGUCUGGGAAACUGCCUGAUGGAGGGGGAUAACUACUGGAAACGGUAGCUAAUAAUCUACAACGUCGUAAGAUCCAAAGAGGUAACCCUUCGGCCUCUGCCAUCGGAUGCGCCCAGAUGGGAUUAGCCAGUAGGGUAACGGCUCACCUUAGGGCAACGAUCCCUAGCUGGUCUGAGAGAGGACACCGUCGCCAAUUGAACUGAGGACACGGUCCAGACCCUACGGGAGGCAGCAGGUCAUCAUUGUAACAAUGGCGCAAGUCUGGAUGCAGCCAUGCCGCGGUAUUAAAGAAGGCCUCUGGCUGUAGCACUUUCUGUGGGAGGAAGGGAGUAAAGUUAAUAAUUCCUUGCUCAUUGAUCGUUACCCGCAGAAGAAGGACCGGCUAACCUGCGCCAGCAGCCGCGGUAAUACGGAGGGUGCAAGCGUUAAUCGGAAUUACUGGCGCUGCACGCAGGCGGUUUGUUAAGUCAGAUGUGAUCCCUGGGCUCAACCCGGAACUGCAUCUGAUACCGGCAAGCUUGAGUCUCGUAGAGGGGGUAGAACGUGUAGCGGUGAAUGCGUAGAGGAUCUGAUGGAUUGGUAUGGGCGGCCUCCGGACGGAGUUAUCUGACGCCCAGCGGAAAGCGUGGGGAGCAAAACAGAUUAGAUAAUUGCAGUCCACGCUGCAAACGAUGUCGACUUGAGGUUGUGCCCUGCCGAGGCGGCCUGAUUAAUCGCGUUAAGUCGACCGCCCUGGGACGUGGGCCGGUUAAAACUCAAACGAAUCGGGGCCCGUACGCGGUGGAGCAUGUGGUUUAACCGAUGCAACGCGCGAAGAACCCACCGGUCUUGACAUCCGCCAGAACCUUCCAGGAGAUGGAUUGCGCCUCGGGAACUGUGAGACAGGUGCUGCAUGCAUGUCAGCCGCCUCGUGCUGUGAAAUGUUGGGUUGUCCCGCAACGAGCGGCAACCCUUGUAUCCCUUGUCGCCAUGCAAUCAUCGGGAACUCAAAGGAGACCGCCAGUGAUAAACUGGAGAGGAAGGUGGGAUGACGUCAAGCCACGCCCUUACGACCGUGGCUAUCAAAGCGCGAAAGAGAAGCGACCUCGCGAGAGCAAGCGGACCUCAUAAAGUGCGUCGUAGUCCGGAUUGGAGUCUGCAACUCGACUCCAUGAAGUCGGAAUCGCUAGUAAUCGUGGAUCAGAAUGCCACGGUGAAUACGUUCCCGGGCCUUGUACACACCGCCCGUCACACCAUGGGAGUGGGUUGCAAAAGAAGUAGGUAGCUUAACCUUCGGGAGGGCGCUUACCACUUUGUGAUUCAUGACUGGGGUGAAGUCGUAACAAGGUAACCGUAGGGGAACCUGCGGUUGGAUCACCUCCUUACCUUAAAGAA